Molecule: unclassified non-coding RNA, 5121 nt
Filed under: Hevea brasiliensis (rubber tree)
Lineage: Eukaryota; Viridiplantae; Streptophyta; Magnoliopsida; Malpighiales; Euphorbiaceae
Source: RNAcentral
UCUCUUUUGGGUUCUUCAUUUCUGGGUUUGUUUUUUGGGGAAUUCACAAAUGGGUAAGUAAUUUAUAGUUCUUUUUUAUUGUUAGGUUGGCGAGGUCUAAUAUCGUUGUUUUUGGUUAUAAUUUUUGUUGUUUUGUAAUCAAAUUUGUAGCUUUGGUUGAUGGGUAUAUUUUAUUAAAUGCAUUUGUAAUUGCAUCUAGGUGUUAAGCCUUAAUGCUUGAUGUAAUGUCUUUGACGGUGAUGAUACUUAAUUUGCUGUCAAGCUCGCAUUUUUUGGUUGAUUGAGUGUAAUUUGAGUAAGAAUUUGGCAUUUUUUAAGUAAGUUUGAAAUUAGGUCUCAAAAAAUGCAGAUUUUUUAGAUUAUUAUGCUUUUCUUUCACAUAUGCUUAAGUUGGGAUUAAUCUUAGUCCGUUGGUUGUUUUGAUUCUGUAAUUUUGUAGUGAUUAUUCAUUUCAAUGACAUUUUUGGGAUUCAUUUUCUUUUCCACAGCAUUACCCAGACAUUCUCAAAAGCAUUCGAAUCGUGUUGUUUUAUCAAUGUCAACGGACAUUUUAUUUACAAUUUCAUUUCAUGAUAAAAUUUGAAGCCAUCAAUGUCACUAGUUUUAUCUCUCCUUUGCCUAUAAGAAGACAAACUGAAUAAAUUACUUCUAGAUAUAGUUGUGCUUGGGGAUUGCUGUGAUUUUUAUACGAAGGCAAAAGCUUCUGUUAUUGCAUUGAUACAUUUGAUUGGUUUGCAUUAAAUAUUCCUCUUCUGCUCUUAAUUGUUUUGAAGCUGUUUUCUGACCACUUUAUUCAUUAGCAUUCUGUCAUGUUUAUGACACAGGUAACAAUCAUUUUCCUGAAUACAAACUUAUCUGCAGUGAUGAAUCUUGGUAAUGGUAUUUGUUGUCACGAAAGUCUUAUGAUGUGGUUUCUCAUUGAGGUGAUGGUUGUAACCAAAGGGCACGCACUCCUUUUUAAUAUAAGAAAACUAACUGUUUCUCACAUUUUUCAUAGAUGCUUUUUAGUUGUCUUGGUUGAUGAACUGGUUUGUGUGUUCUAUUCUGUUCACCUCCAAUUAGUUUUCCUCCAGCUGGCAUGUUUUACUUACAGAAGAAUUUCUAAUGCAGGAUCUUGUUAAGCUUGGUUAUCAAAGAUUUCUCUAUUGUUGAUGAAUUUUGAUGGGCGUUUGUGAAUGGCUUUUGGGGCUGGUUUGGGUUUAUGAUGCAGAUGGGGAUGAUGAUGGUGCUGUUGCAGUUUGCUAAUUAGUGGAAUUCUCUUCUUGACCUGUUCUUUGCUAAAUUGGAAGACCAAUUAUAACAUGGACUAGAAAAAAUCAACUGUCCAAGUGCUAGAAUUUAUUGGGUUUCACUAACUUCUUGUAAGGACUUCAUUUAUGGCUCUUGAAAUUUUGUGUUAAGGCAUAUAUACUGUUAAGCAGUAUCUGGCAGGAAGAUAUAUAAGCAAGAAAUUUGUGAACUUAAGAGGAAUAGUUUACAUCAUUUAUCUAUUACAUAGACUAUGGAAACGCUAGUUUCAGCUCAAGGACAAAAGCACAAUAUGCAAGCGCAAGCUAGGAAAUUUUCACCUGGUGGUUUCCACAAAGAUCUGUGGGUUAUUGUGCGAGAAGGGUCCUUGGCUGAUGUAGAUUCUGCUUUGGCACUACUUAAGAAGAAUGGAGGUAACAUUAAUUCAAGGAACACGUUUGGCCUGACUCCUCUCCAUAUUGCAACUUGGAGGAACCACAUUCCCAUCAUCAGGAGGCUUCUCAUUGCUGGUGCUGACCCUGAUGCUAGGGAUGGAGAAUCAGGGUGGACUAGCCUUCACAGGGCUUUGCAUUUUGGUCAUCUUGCAGUGGCAAGUAUCCUUCUUCAAUCUGGCGCUUCUAUUACACUUGAGGACUCUAAAUCCCGUACGCCUGUUGAUCUCCUUUCUGGGCCUGUAUUGCAGGCCAUUGGAGAUGGACAUGAUUCAGGUUCCUACAUCUGUGUUUUUACAUGAUCAAUGAGGAUCCUAUUGUUCUUGCAAAUUCUCAUUGUGAUUAGUAUUUAGGGAUAAUCAUGAAUUGUUAUUUGUCUUCAGUGGCUACUGAGGUGUUUAGCUGGGGAAGUGGUGCCAAUUAUCAAUUGGGAACUGGAAAUGCUCACUUACAAAGGCUACCUUGCAAAGUUGAUGCACUUCAUGGUUCUUUUAUUAAACUGAUCUCUGCUGCAAAGUUCCAUAGUGUAGCAGUUAGUGCACACGGGGAGGUCUAUACCUGGGGAUUUGGAAGGGGGGGCCGCCUUGGGCAUCCUGAUUUUGAUAUCCACAGUGGUCAAGCUGCAGUUAUUACUCCCCGUCAGGUAAUUUCUGGUUUAGGGUCCCGCCGGGUGAAGGCAAUUGCAGCUGCCAAACAUCACACUGUUCUUGCUACUGAGGGUGGGGAAGUCUUUACCUGGGGAUCUAAUAGAGAGGGUCAGCUUGGCUAUGCUGUGGACACUCAGCCCAUACCUCGUAGAGUGAGCUCGCUUAAGUCGAGGAUUGUUGCUGUUGCUGCAGCAAACAAACACACAGCUGUAGUUUCUGAUUCUGGCGAAGUCUUCACAUGGGGUUGUAACAGAGAGGGUCAACUUGGAUAUGGCACCUCUAACUCAGCAUCUAAUUACAAUCCAAGAGUGGUUGAGUACUUGAAGGGCAAGGUUUUUACAGGAGUUGCAGUGGCAAAAUAUCACACAAUUGUAUUAGGAGCUGAUGGAGAGGUAUACACAUGGGGUCAUCGUCUUGUUACACCAAGACGUGUUGUGAUUGCUAGAAAUUUGAAGAAAAGUGGCAGCAGCCCUUUGAAGUUCCAUCGCAUGGAACGGCUUCAUGUGGCUUCUAUAGCUGCAGGGAUGGUUCACAGCUUGGCUCUUACAGAUGAUGGUGCAUUAUUUUAUUGGGUGUCUGCAGAUCCUGAUCUUAGAUGCCAACAGCUAUAUUCAUUGUGUGCAAAAAAAGUAGUGAGCGUUUCUGUUGGGAAGUACUGGAGUGCUGUGGCCACAGCUACAGGUGAUGUUUAUAUGUGGGAUGGGAAAAAAGGUGAGGAUAAGCUGCCUGCUGUCACUCGGUUACAUGGUGUUAAAAGGGCUGUUUCAGUUUCAGUUGGUGAAACACAUCUAUUGAUUGUUGGUUCUCUAUAUCAUCCUAUCUAUCCUCCCAGUACGAUCAAUAGUCUUCAGAAGCCAAAGUUGCAAGUUGGGGAUGAAGUGGAAGAGCUUGAUGAAGAUUUUGUGUAUAAUGAUAUAGAGUCUAAUCACAUGUCAUCUGCUGUAGAAAAGGAUGAUUGUGCACAAAGGCCUAUACCAAGCUUAAAAUCUCUUUGUGAAAAAGUGGCCGCAGAAAGUCUAGUUGAGCCACGAAAUGCUAUACAGAUGCUUGAAAUUGCUGAUUCACUUGAAGCUGAAGAUCUGAGGAAGCAUUGUCAGGACAUUGUUAUUCACAACCUUGAUUAUAUUCUGACAGUUUCAUCUCAUGCUUUUGCAAGUGCUUCGCCAGAAAUUCUAGCUAAUCUUGAAAAUCUGUUAGACCUAAGGUCAUCUGAACCUUGGAGUUACCGCAGGCUUCCAACUCCAACAGCUACUUUUCCUUUAGUCAUCAACAGUGAAGAAGAGGAUAGUGAAUAUGAUGUUCCAAGGACUCGUGAUAACCACAACAACAAAUCCACCUUGAAGAUUGGAAAUGAAAGAUCGGAAUUCUUUCUUCAACCCAAAGAUGAUCCUAAUCGAGGCAUCUCCAAAAAAGUCCAUGCACUGCGAAAGAAGUUGCAGCAAAUUGAGAUGCUUGAAAUGAAACAAUCUACUGGGCAUCUUCUUGAUGACCAACAACUUGCAAAGCUUCAAACAAGGUUGGUUCUUGAAAGUUCACUUGCUGAGCUUGGUCUUCCGGUUGACAAAGUGCAGGCAAAAGCAUCAGUUGCAGUUUUAUCAGAUGUAAAAGGGAAUAAAAAGGCUGAGGUAUCAAGAAAACAAAGAAGGAAGAGUAAACAAAAGGUAGCACAAGUAGAAACAGUUCCUGGUUUUAGCGGAACUGAUGUAGAAUCAAACUUUGUGAAGGACCCAUUGGAUGUUGAGAUCUCUAAAGUUUCAAUUAAUAAGGAGGAAGAAAUUAUUUCUGAGGGAUGUGUGGGGAGCCAAGCCUCCAAAGAGCUUGCUUUCUGUGUUCAGAAGAAAGAGUGUUCUGACUUUCCAAAAAGUAAGAGUUCAUCUCCUUCAGUAUCCAAGAAGAAAAACCGAAAGGGUGGGCUUUCCAUGUUUUUGAGUGGUGCUCUCGAUGACAACCCCAAAGAUGCUGCUCCCCCUCCACAAGCACCUAGAAGUGAGGGUCCUGCAUGGGGUGGGGCUAAGGUUUCAAAAGGAUUUGCUUCACUUCGUGAAAUUCAGGAUGAACAGAGCAAAACCAAGGUGAACCAAUCAGCAAAAAAUACAGAUCAGGUAGAAGAUCAUUCUGAUGGUAAAAGUGAUGGGAAGGUUCUGUUGAGUUCCUUCUUGCCUUCAAAACCUAUACCUAUGGUAUCAUCACAUGCAUCACCGACAUCUGAUUCAGAAAGAAGCACACCUCCUUGGGCUUCUGCAACUCCUCCUCUUCUUUCUCGGACAUCUCUUAGAGACAUCCAAAUGCAGCAGCAAGGGAAACAGCAGCAGAAUAAUUCCCAUAGUCCAAAGACAAGAACAGCUGGAUUCUCAAUUGCAUCUGGCCAGGGAUCACCAUCAGAUUCUCCAGGGAUGAACCGCUGGUUCAAACCUGAGAUAAACACACCUGCAUCAAUUCGUUCAAUUCAGAUUGAAGAGAAGGCUAUGAAAGACUUGAAGCGGUUCUACAGCACCGUCAAGAUUGUGAAGAAUCCAACUUAAAUGAGGGACUGCAUGAUACUUGCAUCCAUGCAUAGCAAUGGGCUCUUCAUUGUUUAUUCUCCUUUCUUCCAUUUCAACUGUGAAUUUCAGUGUACAGAUGAUCUCCUUGUAACUUAGGUUUUUAAUUUUAAGGAGUAGUUGGCAUUUCUCAUCAGCCAUUAAUUUAUUUAUCUUAGAUUUAAAGAUGUACAUUGAGCCCCUUUCAUUUCAUCCCUCAAAGAUAAUAAAGUCUAAAAGUUCCUGAUUGAAGUAUAUAUAAUAACACAAUUCCUG